Molecule: ribosomal RNA, 497 nt
Filed under: uncultured bacterium
Lineage: Bacteria
Description: partial 16S ribosomal RNA
Rfam family: Bacterial small subunit ribosomal RNA
Source: RNAcentral
GAUGAACGCUGGCGGCGUGCCUAAUACAUGCAAGUCGAGCGAACAGAUAAGGAGCUUGCUCCUUUGACGUUAGCGGCGGACGGGUGAGUAACACGUGGAUAACCUACCUAUAAGACUGGGAUAACUUCGGGAAACCGGAGCUAAUACCGGAUAACAUAUUGAACCGCAUGGUUCAAUAGUGAAAGGCGGCUUUGCUGUCACUUAUAGAUGGAUCCGCGCCGUAUUAGCUAGUUGGUAAGGUAACGGCUUACCAAGGCAACGAUACGUAGCCGACCUGAGAGGAUGAUCGGCCACACUGGAACUGAGACACGGUCCAGACUCCUACGGGAGGCAGCAGUAGGGAAUCUUCGGCAAUGGGCGAAAGCCUGACGGAGCAACGCCGCGUGAGUGAUGAAGGUCUUCGGAUCGUAAAGCUCUGUUAUCGGGGAAGAACAAAUGUGUAUGUAACUGUGCACAUCUUGACGGUACCUGAUCAGAAAGCCACGGCUAACUUCGUG